GCUCCGGCUUUUCCCACCCACGGGCAGGGCGUUCCCGCCAGCCCGCUUCCUGCAGCCGAAGGCCGGGGCGGAGGGCCCCGGGGCCUGGCAGGCCGGGUUCCUGGCUUUCUCUGCGUUUCCUGAGCCGGACGACCGGGGGAUGGGACCCGCGGCGCAAAGCUCCUUCCCCGGAACGCGGCCAGGAAGCCGCGUCCUUGUGAACUCCGGGUCCUCCUCUGCCGGGAACGCGCCGAUGAGAACACUGAGGCUGACAAAGGAGGGGCAAGCGCCAGGUUGCGUGGAGAUCAGAGGACCGCUUAGAGGAUGCCAUUCUAACUCAAGUCGUCCUGCUUAUCAUAAGAGACUUUACCCACUGGGCCAGGAAUCUGACAACCAGAGAUCCUGUGGGUUCUUCAUCAUACAGCUAUGUAACUCAGCUAGGAAUUUGACUCCAGGCUCCCGUUUCCAGACCUCAGGCCAUUCCAUUCAUUACACUGCCUCCCAGCUCUAGUUCAGUAACCCGGAAGGCUAAAACCUUACCUCAUUUCUUAUGAGUCCCCCAGAUGCCCACGGCACACAGCAGUUAACUCGAAGAAGACUAUGGAACCUGGAAUCCAAGCUAAAACUUUCCACAACCUUAAAAACUAGUGAAAAUUCAACCUCUCUUGGACUUUUUCUGAUCAUGGCGUUCUCCAUAUUUUCUUCCCUUGUGAACAAAAGUCUGGUUUAAACUGCAAAUGUAAAGCCAGUAAGUAAAUGGCUCAUCCCACUCAAACAUAAGGACCUGACUUGCUCACGCCAGCACCCAGAAAAAAAGCUGGCUGUACACCUUGAGUUCAAGGCCAACCUGGUCUACAAAGCUAUUCCAGUACAGCUAGGGCUACACAGAGAAACCCUGUUUCAAAAAACAAACAAAAACGACAACGAUUACUACAACAAAAAGGCUGGGUGUGACUGCCUGAACCUGGAAUGCUAUCACCAGGAAGUAGAGACAAACAGAUUCCUGAAGCUCAUUGGCUAAUCUGCCUAGCUAAACCAAUGAGCUUCAGUUUCACUGAGAGACCCUAGCUCUAAAAAUAGUGACUGAGUGACUGAGGAGGGAUGUUGACUUUUGGCCUCAUAUGUAUGUACAC
Molecule: long non-coding RNA, 1112 nt
Filed under: Cricetulus griseus (Chinese hamster)
Lineage: Eukaryota; Metazoa; Chordata; Mammalia; Rodentia; Cricetidae
Description: lncRNA (ENSCGRG00015039979.1)
Source: RNAcentral